Molecule: ribosomal RNA, 262 nt
Filed under: uncultured prokaryote
Description: partial 16S ribosomal RNA
Rfam family: Bacterial small subunit ribosomal RNA
Source: RNAcentral
UACGUAGGUGGCAAGCGUUAUCCGGAAUUAUUGGGCGUAAAGAGCGCGCAGGUGGUUGAUUAAGUCUGAUGUGAAAGCCCACGGCUUAACCGUGGAGGGUCAUUGGAAACUGGUCGACUUGAGUGCAGAAGAGGGAAGUGGAAUUCCAUGUGUAGCGGUGAAAUGCGUAGAGAUAUGGAGGAACACCAGUGGCGAAGACGGCUUCCUGGUCUGUAACUGACACUGAGGCGCGAAAGCGUGGGGAGGCAAACAGGAUUAGAUA